This 263-nucleotide signal recognition particle RNA is filed under the name Candidatus Copromonas faecavium (nom. illeg.). RNAcentral describes it as "signal recognition particle sRNA large type". It matches the Rfam family "Bacterial large signal recognition particle RNA". From Rfam's summary of the family: The signal recognition particle (SRP) is a universally conserved ribonucleoprotein involved in the co-translational targeting of proteins to membranes. Archaeal SRP consists of a 7S RNA and homologues of the eukaryotic SRP19 and SRP54 proteins. In most bacteria, the SRP consists of a 4.5S RNA and the Ffh protein (a homologue of the eukaryotic SRP54 protein). Lineage: Bacteria; Bacillati; Bacillota; Clostridia; Lachnospirales; Lachnospiraceae. The record is from RNAcentral.
CCGCACAGCCGGGGAGUUAGCGGUGCCCUGAACCUGCAAUCCGCUAUAGCAGGGGUGAUGUUUUGCCGAGGGUGUCUGCAUUGCAGGGCUGCCCCUGGUAAGCGGCGUUGACGUCUUGGUCUUACGCAAUGAAAAUCUCUGAACCGUGUCAGGGCAGGAAUGCAGCAGCACUAAGGGGAACCUUUCAUGUGCCGUGAGGAAGCCGGGGCUGAGCAGGCUGCCAGGGUAACGUCUGUGGUGCGCAUUCGACACAGAACGUGCGG